This is a non-coding RNA of Odocoileus virginianus texanus, 1923 nucleotides long. Lineage: Eukaryota; Metazoa; Chordata; Mammalia; Artiodactyla; Cervidae. The record is from RefSeq and is a predicted model, not a curated record.
GCGAGUUCCCUGGGGCCCUGGGGGGCGGGGCGGUGCACCUGAGAGCCGGGCGGUGGAGAGCGCUCCAGGGGUGCCAUGGUGACACUGAACCUGCCUGGAUCCUGACUCUCCAACGGCUCCCUUUGGUGUCUCAGCUUCUGACAGCGUCUGAUAGCGGAUGGAGGAGAGGUGGUCAGCGAAAGAGAGGUGGUGUGCAGGGGGAUGGGCUGCAGGAGGUGUGGAGAAGGAUAGAGGAGGUGAGUCUGUGUGCCCCUGACACAGAGAGGCCAAACGGUACCCAAUCCUCGGAAUCUGGAGCAGAUAAAGGUUUAUUGCUGCACGAUGCGAGGAGACGCGUGGCUCCCACCUUAAAAACCCCAAACUUCCCAAAGGUUUCAGCAAAGCCCUUUCCUGGGAAAAGUGAGAGAAGGCAUGGUAAGUCAUUGCAAACUUCCUGGUGUCAGAUCCUUUGUUCUUGAGGUCAGGUCAUGGUCAGAUAACAGUGUUCCUGUAAAUCUCUACCAAAUGAAUGCCAUCCUCUGUUCUGACAAGAAAAGACAAGGUCUCAAGGCUCAACUUUCGCCCUCCAAGGUCCAGGUCCUGGCUAAGAGGAGGUGGUCCCUGCUAGGGCUGGUCACCCUGCCCAGGAGUCUUCAUCGAGCACCCAGUCUGGGUCCUCCCACUAGUGCCCAGGCUGGGCUGAGGAGGCAGAUCUCAGCUGGUGCUGCCCUUGGAGCCAGGUCCCCAGACCCUGUCCAGCUGUCAUCUCUGAGGGAGCCAGGCACCCAGGACCCAGCUGGUCCUCAGGCCCUCCAAACAGCAGGGGGUCAGGUCCCUCACAGGCCCACCAGGCAAACUGCUGCUGCCCUUCGGUCCCAGUGUGGGGACUGGGGAGCGCUUCACUGCGGCCUCUCCGCCUGGGCCCGGCCAGCAGGCAGCAUUGGCGAGGGCUCUGGAGCCCAGCAGGACAGAGCCCCUAGCCUGUCCCCCACCCCCAUCCACUGGCCUGAGGCCGGCUGAGCAGGAGGGCUCUGGGGUGAAGGCUGGGAUCUGCCUUUUACCUCCCUCGCUGCCUGAAGACCACCACCCCCCUGACCAUUGGCCUAGCAGGCCUUUAAUUACCACCCUGGCUGUUUCUUAGCAGUGGCUGCCUGGUGACUGCUGUCUGGUAACAGUAGAUGUCCUGGCACUGCACCCACGCCUGUCCCCACCACACACUUGCCCUUUCGCUGUCACGCACUCAUCCUUGGAGACGUCAGCCCCGCUUGCUGGCACCGCGACCCUCCUGUCAGUAUUUUCCACCGUACAGUCUGUUUUCUACUUCGGCUUCUGGUGCUUGAACUUCUUGCCUCCCAUUGCAAACACUGCUGCUCUUUCCCCCAGCAGCUAUUUCUUCUAUGCCUAAUGCAAUAAAUACUAAUACAUAAAAUGUCAACUGUCCUGGUCUCCUGAUGAAAUGGGCUCACAGAAAGUAGGCCCAUCCCCAGGGGAUGAAUCUUGACUGGAGGAAAGCAGGCAUGGCCCUCUCCUUCCUCUGCUGGAAUUGGUGGGGGUGGGGAGAACACGUGACCUAGUUCUGCCCAAUAGAGCUGAGAGGAGGCCUGUUUAGGAGGCAGGUGGUGUUUGGGAAAGUUUCAUCUCUUUAAAGGAAGGCGGGUGGUGGAAAUCAAUCAUCACCAUUUUCCUUCGACCUGGUAGGGAGAAUGUGAUGGGAGGAGAUGUAGCAGCCAAAGUGAGACCGUGAGGAAAGAGCUAAGGAGAAUCCCAGAGGAGCUGGUGCAAAGAUCCGCCCUUGCUGACCAAAUAAACUAAUCAACCCCAGAGCCUCCAGACUCUUGUUGGCAAGAUCAUCACUGCCUGCACUGAAGCCAUGUUGGGAUCCAUUUCGUUCAUUAAUUCAGAAUAAUCUAAGUGUCUUAUUAAAUAUUUCUUGUGCUGAUUCCA